This 484-nucleotide ribosomal RNA is filed under the name uncultured bacterium. RNAcentral describes it as "partial 16S ribosomal RNA". It matches the Rfam family "Bacterial small subunit ribosomal RNA", at positions 30 to 507 of the family's 1533-position model. The record is from RNAcentral.
AUUGAACGCUGGCGGCAGGCCUAACACAUGCAAGUCGAGCGGAUGAAGGGAGCUUGCUCCUGGAUUCAGCGGCGGACGGGUGAGUAAUGCCUAGGAAUCUGCCUGGUAGUGGGGGAUAACGUCCGGAAACGGGCGCUAAUACCGCAUACGUCCUGAGGGAGAAAGUGGGGGAUCUUCGGACCUCACGCUAUCAGAUGAGCCUAGGUCGGAUUAGCUAGUUGGUGGGGUAAAGGCCUACCAAGGCGACGAUCCGUAACUGGUCUGAGAGGAUGGUCAGCCACACUGGAACUGAGACACGGUCCAGACUCCUACGGGAGGCAGCAGUGGGGAAUAUUGGACAAUGGGCGAAAGCCUGAUCCAGCCAUGCCGCGUGUGUGAAGAAGGUCUUCGGAUUGUAAAGCACUUUUAGUUGGGAGGAAGGGCAGUAAGUUAAUACCUUGCUGUUUUGACGUUACCAACAGAAUAAGCACCGGCUAACUUCGUG